This 497-nucleotide ribosomal RNA is filed under the name uncultured bacterium. RNAcentral's name for it is "bacterial SSU rRNA". It matches the Rfam family "Bacterial small subunit ribosomal RNA", at positions 29 to 511 of the family's 1533-position model. The record is from RNAcentral.
AGUGAACGCUGGCGGCAGGCCUAACACAUGCAAGUCGAGCGGCAGCGCGUCCGACCACCCUCGGGUGGUCGGAUGGCGGCGAGCGGCGGACGGGUGAGGAAUGCAUCGGAAUCUGCCUCGUUGUGGGGGAUAACGUAGGGAAACUUACGCUAAUACCGCAUACGACCUACGGGUGAAAGUGGGGGACCUUCGGGCCUCACGCGAUGAGAUGAGCCGAUGCCGGAUUAGCUAGUUGGCGGGGUAAAGGCCCACCAAGGCGACGAUCCGUAGCUGGUCUGAGAGGAUGAUCAGCCACACUGGAACUGAGACACGGUCCAGACUCCUACGGGAGGCAGCAGUAAGGAAUAUUGGACAAUGGCCGCAAGGCUGAUCCAGCCAUGCCGCGUGCAGGAAGACGGACCUAUGGUUUGUAAACUGCUUUUGAACGGGAGAAAACCCCCCUACGUGUAGGGGGCUGAUAGUACUGUUAGAAUAAGCAUCGGCUAACUUCGUGCCAG